RNAcentral lists this ribosomal RNA (468 nucleotides) under uncultured bacterium. RNAcentral describes it as "partial 16S ribosomal RNA". It matches the Rfam family "Bacterial small subunit ribosomal RNA", at positions 28 to 507 of the family's 1533-position model. The record is from RNAcentral.
GACGAACGCUGGCGGCGUGCUUAACACAUGCAAGUCGAACGGAAAGGCCCUGCUUUUGUGGGGUGCUCGAGUGGCGAACGGGUGAGUAACACGUGAGUAACCUGCCCUUGCCUUUGGGAUAACUUCAGGAAACUGGGGCUAAUACCGGAUAGGAGCUCCUGCUGCAUGGUGGGGGUUGGAAAGUUUCGGCGGUUGGGGAUGGACUCGCGGCUUAUCAGCUUGUGGGUGGGGUAGUGGCUUACCAAGGCUUUGACGGGUAGCCGGCCUGAGAGGGUGACCGGCCACAUUGGGACUGAGAUACGGCCCAGACUCCUACGGGAGGCAGCAGUGGGGAAUAUUGCACAAUGGGCGGAAGCCUGAUGCAGCAACGCCGCGUGCGGGAUGACGGCCUUCGGGUUGUAAACCGCUUUCGCCUGUGACGAAGCGUGAGUGACGGUAAUGGGUAAAGAAGCACCGGCUAACUACGUG